This 299-nucleotide ribosomal RNA is filed under the name uncultured bacterium. Its description in RNAcentral is "partial 16S ribosomal RNA". It matches the Rfam family "Bacterial small subunit ribosomal RNA", at positions 29 to 356 of the family's 1533-position model. The record is from RNAcentral.
AACGAACGCUGGCGGCAUGCCUAACACAUGCAAGUCGAACGAGACCUUCGGGUCUAGUGGCGCACGGGUGCGUAACGCGUGGGAAUCUGCCCUUGGGUUCGGAAUAACUCAGAGAAAUUUGAGCUAAUACCGGAUGAUGACGUAAGUCCAAAGAUUUAUCGCCCAAGGAUGAGCCCGCGUAGGAUUAGCUAGUUGGUGAGGUAAAGGCUCACCAAGGCGACGAUCCUUAGCGGUCUGAGAGGAUGAUCAGCCACACUGGGACUGAGACACGGCCCAGACUCCUACGGGAGGCAGCAGUU